Long non-coding RNA from Anastrepha ludens (Mexican fruit fly), 1309 nucleotides. RefSeq lists it as uncharacterized. The transcript has 4 exons. The record is from RefSeq and is a predicted model, not a curated record. NCBI's taxonomy places the organism in Eukaryota, Metazoa, Arthropoda, Insecta, Diptera, Tephritidae.
AAGCAAUUGAGGCGAAUGGCAGUGAAAGAACAACCAUAAGGAGAAAAUGUAUGUGCUUAUUGUAAGUUAGUUCGUAUCUAGCCACGCAGGUACGUCGAAAAUGACACCAGAGCAGCAAAUGAGCAACAAGAGGCAACCAUCAGGCGAAGUUACGUUGACGAAGGCGAGUUGCGAGAAUAGACUCAAAGUCUUUGGGUAAUUGGAGCCCAAGCUAAUGCACCCGCUGGGUGUCACACUGUUGUUUGAAUUAUUGAUUACAGGAAACUCAAGGAAAAGGUUGGUACCUACAAAAGAUGCUUGUAAACAGUUGGUAUGCCAUUUAUGCGAAACUCCAUGGACUUUCUCAUACCAAACAGCGCUCACACUCAACUACUUGUACUUUAUCAUAUAUUGGAUUUCCAAAAUACAAAAACCGACCAUGCCAUGGGAAUUGGAGAUAAUGAUGGGCUGUGUUGAAAAAAUAAAGUACGAAAAAGGAUAAAUAGAGUAUUAGGAAUGAGAUAAGCGAAAAGUUUAAUAUAACCCAAUAACUUAGUCAAUAUUUUAAUGAAAAAAAUAUUAAAAGAUUGUGGGUGCACUAUGUAGGUGGUGUUUUUUAAGACCUUCAGAACUUAAGAUGAUAACACAAAACGGAAAUAUUGUUGUUAUGUAUUUUAUUAUAAGCUUGUGGAUAAUUUCAUUUUUUUUUUUAUAUGAUAGUUACAUGAUCCAUUUGAUCAGUUCAAUUUUUGAAAAUUUUUACCAAAAAAUCUGAAUAAUAAAUCUAAGGGAGCCCAAUCAGUAAAAAUGUGAUGCAGCAAACGAUGAUCGUUUGGAUUAAAUUCUUGCACGAACUGUAUUUUAUGGGUCAAAUGGAAUGGGUGAAAGCAUAAAAGCAAAUAAAAAUAAACCGCAUAAAAUGGAUGGCAAACACGCACAAAAGAACUGUCGAAAAGCAUUGAUAUAUAUUAGUGGUAUUCCCAGGUUGGAGCAAAUUCAAAUGAGGAAAUAUAUGUAAUUUACCAAUAAUAAGUACUCUUAUGCAAACAGGAGAAAAUCAACGAUAUGCGCACAAACUAAAUAGCAAAAAUUAAUGAAAUCAACGUGGAGGCUAUUACCAUAAAUAAGUCCUUGUUUUGGUAUUUGUUGGAUAGGAGACUGUCGUUCGAUUGGUCCGAGAUUUGAUGCAGAAUGUUGGCGUAACCACUCAAAUGAUGAAGCGGUGAACUGGAUAACUUUCGAGUGCAUUUCCGCUAUUAAAAAACUCUAUAACAACCACAUGAAACUUGGCCUAAUACGAAGACUGCCUUUUAUAUUGUAUUUUAUGCCC